This 230-nucleotide ribosomal RNA is filed under the name uncultured bacterium. Its description in RNAcentral is "partial 16S ribosomal RNA". It matches the Rfam family "Bacterial small subunit ribosomal RNA", at positions 103 to 334 of the family's 1533-position model. The record is from RNAcentral.
CGGGUGAGUAACACAUCGGAACGUACCCCGGAGUGGGGGAUAGCCCGGCGAAAGCCGGAUUAAUACCGCAUAUGCUCUGAGGAGGAAAGUGGGGGACUCGCAAGGGCCUCACGCUCUGGGAGCGGCCGAUGUCCGAUUAGCUAGUUGGUGGGGUAAAGGCCUACCAAGGCGACGAUCGGUAGCUGGUCUGAGAGGAUGAUCAGCCACACUGGGACUGAGACACGGCCCAG